UACGUAGGGUGCGAGCGGUGUCCGGAAUUAUUGGGCGUAAAGAGCUUGUAGGCGGUUUGUCGCGUCUGCUGUGAAAAUCCGGGGCUCAACCCCGGACUUGCAGUGGGUACGGGCAGACUAGAGUGUGGUAGGGGAGACUGGAAUUCCUGGUGUAGCGGUGAAAUGCGCAGAUAUCAGGAGGAACACCGAUGGCGAAGGCAGGUCUCUGGGCCACUACUGACGCUGAGAAGCGGAAGCAUGGGGAGCGAACAGG
RNAcentral lists this ribosomal RNA (253 nucleotides) under uncultured bacterium. Its description in RNAcentral is "partial 16S ribosomal RNA". It matches the Rfam family "Bacterial small subunit ribosomal RNA", at positions 524 to 776 of the family's 1533-position model. The record is from RNAcentral.